UUUGAAACCAAUGCCACAUCUGUUUUAUUUGCAGGUGACAAUAUGUACAGUUGUGAAAAAUGCAAAAAGUUGAGAAAUGGAGUAAAGUUUUGUAAAGUACAAAAGUUUCCUGAGAUUUUAUGCAUCCACCUUAAAAGAUUCAGACAUGAACUAAUGUUUUCCACCAAAAUCAGUACCCAUGUUUCAUUUCCGCUGGAAGGCUUGGAUCUUCAGCCAUUUCUUGCUAAGGAUAGUCCAGCUCAAAUUGUGACAUAUGAUCUUCUGUCAGUCAUUUGCCAUCAUGGAACUGCAAGUAGUAAGUAUAUAGGUUUAACAGUUGUUCCUAGAUUUAAAAAAAAAUUAAAAUAAGCCUGGGCGUGGUGGCUCAUACCUGUAAUUACCAGCC
This 385-nucleotide small RNA is filed under the name Pongo abelii (Sumatran orangutan). RNAcentral describes it as "retained intron". Lineage: Eukaryota; Metazoa; Chordata; Mammalia; Primates; Hominidae. The record is from RNAcentral.